This is a long non-coding RNA of Apis laboriosa (Himalayan honeybee), 2069 nucleotides long. RefSeq lists it as uncharacterized. The record is from RefSeq and is a predicted model, not a curated record. NCBI's taxonomy places the organism in Eukaryota, Metazoa, Arthropoda, Insecta, Hymenoptera, Apidae. The transcript has 4 exons.
UUCGUUUGCUCUUUAAAAAAUUCAAUGCCAUCAUAAUUUAUACAAUCAAAAUUUUCCUUGACAAAAAUUCUCGUUAACGAGCACAAACCUAACCUAAAAAUCUACAUCAUUUUUUCUAGUUAUCUCCAACAAGCUUGAAACGAAAAAGUAUGUUCAAAAGAAAAAAAAGACGGAGAAAAAUGAAGAAAAAGAAAGGAAACUGGCAAGCUAAUUUUACGUGGAUCGUGUUUCCACGAUGGUACACAGGAACGCCCUCAGAGAAUAAAUGAAAGAGCAGAAACGAUGGAUUACCCUCUUGGAUGCAAUUGAUCACGAAGACAAUGGAUUCCUGUAUUUGUGACAACAUCGUCGGUCUCAGGUUUGGAUAUCGACGGCAGGUGAAAGCAAGGCAGAAUAUACAUUCCUCCACGGUGUCCAGCCUCUAGUAGUGCUUUUUCCGUGUAAUUACUUUAAUAAUUCGUAUCGACUUCCACUGGGAACUCCUUUCGCUGGACACGCAAGUUGGCUCGUUUCUUGGUCUCUAUAUUUGCUAAGUAUACACAACUAUCGAUUGAACGUGGAAUUUAGGACAACUUCGUUUACUUUUCCUUACCGGAUAUUUGUUGGAAGAUCGCAUUUAUAAUUACGUGUAAUUAGAAUCUUGUGUGAUGAACUUCCAUUUUCUUCGUUACCUUGCUUGAAGCAGAAAAAGAAGAACACAAUUUGUCGCUACUCCAGGGAAACACUAAGGGAAGUAAUGAAAUUAUAGAGGAUUCUCGCCGGAUGGCAAACAUGACCGAGAAAUUCUCGAAAGACUUGGCUCGAUCAUUUUCAGAAACCAUUUAUUGGCUCAAAGAUAUUAUUACAAGAAAAAAUAACCCUGUUUAUUUUUUAUUUUUAAAUUUAAUUGUUCUUUAAUGCAAUGUCGAGCAAUCGUUGUAAUUAUCCUAACCUCAAAAAUAUCCAUAAAUUUCCUACAUAUAUUUUCUAUCUCAAUUAAAAUGCACUAAAUGUAACAAUUCGCCAAGAAUCUUAGUUUAAUUUAAGUAAUAUCGUAGCGUGAAGUUAACGAAACAUAAAAAUGUUAAUCUCUUCAAUUAGAAUUACGGAGAUUGCUCGAGUAAUAAUUAUGUUAUUGUUUUGUAUUAUUACAUGCCAUCUCUAUCGAUGAAUUGUAAUCGAUGUGUUCUCUCGAAGAUUAUCCUUGCAUAUCAACUCGUUUUAAACGAUUAAAAUUAAAAUUGAUAAAUGUCUUAAGUGAAGCGUAUUGCACAGAUUUAUCGCUUUACGAACGGAAGCGACAAUUAAGAUUAAUUAUCCUUUAUGGUAGGCUCGUAAUAAUACGUCUUCAUAAAAAUAUUUAUUUAGUCUACUUCUACCUCUAUUAUUAUUUAAAAAAAAAAGUGAUUUAAUUGUUUUUGCAUUUGAUUUAUCUAACCUCAAAGAAUUAUUAUUCUAUUAUAUUUCCAUUAAUCUUUGCAUUAAAAUAUGUGCAAAACAUGCUUUAAUUCUUUUAAAAGAACAAAACUGAAAGAACAAAAUGAGUCACGGUGAAAGAUACUUUCUAAAACUGAUUCUCACAUCUAAAAUUUUUACACUGUUUUUAACUCGCAUUAUUAUUUAUAUAAAAACAAAAUCUACCAUAUCUUAGAAUUUCUAUUCCAAAAAGAAAAAAACUGGAACAUUCUUUUUGUACAUUUUUCAAUCUAACAAAGUGAGCAGCAGAUUGUCUGUUAAUUAAACAAAAAAAAAAAUCGUUAAAGAUAAACAAAUAUUACAGUUUCCAAGAUAUUACGUUAGAAUAAUCGGAAAGGGGAAAAAAAAAAGAAAAAAGAAGAAAUAUCGAGCGAGCAAGAUUUGCCUUCUCAAUUUUUCAAAACGCGUCCAGUUUCCAUCGCGCGAAUAACGUAGGCGUAUAUUUGUUAAAUGGUGAAAAAGAGACGUUCCACUUUUGCCUCGUCUUUUUUCCACUAUUGAAACACGAUGUAUCGGGGGAACGGGGUUACCACGAUCGUUGUUUCUUCCCUAUCGUAGGUGUGGAAGAUGGAACGUAGACAGAUGAGCGCAGAGAAGGAAUCGGGAAGAGAGGA